CAGCCGCGGUAAUUCCAGCUCUCAAGGUGUAUAUCGCCAUUGCUGCGGUUAAAAAGCUCGUAGUUGGAUCUGCGCCUUCGGACUCGGUCCGCCCAACGGGUGUGAACUGAGAUCCAAGGCUUAUACUGCUGGUUUUCCCUUGAUGCUCUUUACUGGGUGUCUUGGGUGGCUAGCGAGUUUACUUUGAAAAAAUUAGAGUGCUUAACACAGGCUAUCGCCUGAAUACUUGUGCAUGGAAUAAUAGAAUAAGACCACGGCUCUAUUUUAUUGGUUUUCGGAACUGUGAUAAUGGUUAAGAGGGACAGACGGGGGCAUUCGUAUCGCUGCGUGAGAGGUGAAAUUCUUGGACCGCAGCGAGACGCCCUACUGCGAAAGCAUUUGCCAAGAAUGUCUUCGUUAAUCAAGAACGAAAGUCAGAGGUUCGAAGGCGAUCAGAUACCGCCCUAGUUCUGACCGUAAACGAUGCCAACUAGCGAUCCGCCGGUGGUAAUUACGCCCCGGCGGGGAGCUUCCCGGAAACGAAAGU
RNAcentral lists this ribosomal RNA (526 nucleotides) under Plectus velox. Its description in RNAcentral is "SSU rRNA". It matches the Rfam family "Eukaryotic small subunit ribosomal RNA", at positions 571 to 1104 of the family's 1831-position model. The record is from RNAcentral. Lineage: Eukaryota; Metazoa; Nematoda; Chromadorea; Plectida; Plectidae. RNAcentral also lists the same sequence under 1 other name.